GGCACAGAGUCUGAGGGGAGGGUUUGGCUGUUUGAAUUAAGAAGGGGUGAGGCAGAUGAGUCUGGGGGAGUCUUCAGGGGCCAUCUGGGGAAAGGCUGUGAGUACCACCUCACAAGGCUACCAGAUGUGUACACAAGGUGACAUGGUAGGAUUUGAACUCCCAGCCCUCAGAUUUCAGAAUAUGCUGUCUUUCUCUACCACCAAGAUGGCUUCUUUCUUCAGGAGCAGACAACUUAACCAGCAGAGGUGGGGUACAGGACAAAGUUGCUCCAGACAAGGUGAAGGCCUAAGCAAGCUUCCCUACUCUUCUGUCUCCUUAUCCCAACCUUUUGGGAGUCUUGAGGCCUAUGAUGGGUCUUCUUAGCAUAAUAGUUGAGCUGACAGUAAUGUUGUAUAGUUAUCCAUUUCCACAGCUGCCUUGCCCACUGGGGGUACCUCUGAGGAAGGCCUGUGCUUAGAUCAUCCCUGUGUCCUCUCUUCAUACACAAGAUACUCAGUAAAUGUUUACCUUUUGU
Molecule: long non-coding RNA, 515 nt
Filed under: Rattus norvegicus (Norway rat)
Lineage: Eukaryota; Metazoa; Chordata; Mammalia; Rodentia; Muridae
Description: long non-coding RNA NONRATT022472
Source: RNAcentral